This 253-nucleotide ribosomal RNA is filed under the name uncultured bacterium. RNAcentral describes it as "partial 16S ribosomal RNA". It matches the Rfam family "Bacterial small subunit ribosomal RNA", at positions 524 to 776 of the family's 1533-position model. The record is from RNAcentral.
UACAGAGGUGGCAAGCGUUGUUCGGAAUUACUGGGCGUAAAGGGCGCGUAGGCGGCCUUUCAAGUCAGACGUGAAAUCCCCCGGCUUAACCUGGGAACUGCGUCUGAUACUGGGAGGCUCGAGUGUGGGAGAGGGAUGUAGAAUUCCAGGUGUAGCGGUGAAAUGCGUAGAUAUCUGGAGGAAUACCGGUGGCGAAGGCGGCAUCCGGGACCAUAACUGACGCUGAGGCGCGAAAGCUAGGGGAGCAAACGGG